RNAcentral lists this ribosomal RNA (498 nucleotides) under uncultured bacterium. RNAcentral's name for it is "partial 16S ribosomal RNA". It matches the Rfam family "Bacterial small subunit ribosomal RNA", at positions 29 to 523 of the family's 1533-position model. The record is from RNAcentral.
AUUGAACGCUGGCGGCAUGCCUUACACAUGCAAGUCGAACGGUAACGCGGGGCAACCUGGCGACGAGUGGCGAACGGGUGAGUAAUGCAUCGGAACGUGCCUGGUAGUGGGGGAUAACUGCUCGAAAGAGCAGCUAAUACCGCAUACGACCUGAGGGUGAAAGGGGGGGAUCGCAAGACCUCUCGCUAUCAGAGCGGCCGAUGUCGGAUUAGCUAGUUGGUGGGGUAAAGGCCCACCAAGGCGACGAUCCGUAGCUGGUCUGAGAGGACGACCAGCCACACUCGGACUGAGACACGGCCCAGACUCCUACGGGAGGCAGCAGUGGGGAAUUUUGGACAAUGGACGCAAGUCUGAUCCAGCCAUGCCGCGUGCGGGAAGAAGGCCUUCGGGUUGUAAACCGCUUUUGUCAGGGAAGAAAUCUUCUGGGUUAAUACCUCGGGAGGAUGACGGUACCUGAAGAAUAAGCACCGGCUAACUACGUGCCAGCCGCCGCAGUAA